AUUGAACGCUGGCGGCAUGCUUUACACAUGCAAGUCGAACGGUAACAGGGAAAAGCUUGCUUUUCUGCUGACGAGUGGCGAACGGGUGAGUAAUACAUCGGAACGUGCCCUGUAGUGGGGGAUAACUACUCGAAAGAGUGGCUAAUACCGCAUACAACCUGAGGGUAAAAGUGGGGGACCGCAAGGCCUCACGCUAUAGGAGCGGCCGAUGGAAGAUUAGGUAGUUGGUGAGGUAAAGGCUCACCAAGGCGACGAUCGAUAGCUGGUCUGAGAGGAUGAUCAGCCACACUGGAACUGAGACACGGUCCAGACUCCUACGGGAGGCAGCAGUGGGGAAUUUUGGACAAUGGGGGCAACCCUGAUCCAGCCAUUCCGCGUGAGUGAAGAAGGCCUUCGGGUUGUAAAGCUCUUUCGGCAGGAACGAAACGGUGGUCGCUAAUACCGGCCACUAAUGACGGUACCUGAAGAAGAAGCACCGGCUAACUACGUGCCAGCAGCCGCGGUAAUACGUAGGGUGCGAGCGUUAAUCGGAAUUACUGGGCGUAAAGCGUGCGCAGGCG
RNAcentral lists this ribosomal RNA (560 nucleotides) under uncultured bacterium. Its description in RNAcentral is "bacterial SSU rRNA". It matches the Rfam family "Bacterial small subunit ribosomal RNA", at positions 28 to 577 of the family's 1533-position model. The record is from RNAcentral.